GUCAGGAUGGCCGAGUGGUCUAUGGCGCCAGACUCAAGGUGAGAAGACUUCCUGGUUGUUCGGAACUCCGAUUGGAGGCGAGGGUUCAAAUCCCUCAUCUGACU
RNAcentral lists this transfer RNA (104 nucleotides) under Salmo salar (Atlantic salmon). It matches the Rfam family "tRNA". Rfam says of the family: Transfer RNA (tRNA) molecules are approximately 80 nucleotides in length. Their secondary structure includes four short double-helical elements and three loops (D, anti-codon, and T loops). Further hydrogen bonds mediate the characteristic L-shaped molecular structure. tRNAs have two regions of fundamental functional importance: the anti-codon, which is responsible for specific mRNA codon recognition, and the 3' end, to which the tRNAs corresponding amino acid is attached (by aminoacyl-tRNA synthetases). tRNAs cope with the degeneracy of the genetic code in two manners: having more than one tRNA (with a specific anti-codon) for a particular amino acid; and 'wobble' base-pairing, i.e. permitting non-standard base-pairing at the 3rd anti-codon position. The record is from Rfam by way of RNAcentral. Lineage: Eukaryota; Metazoa; Chordata; Actinopteri; Salmoniformes; Salmonidae.